This 2023-nucleotide long non-coding RNA is filed under the name Polistes canadensis. Its description in RNAcentral is "uncharacterized LOC106793160". The record is from RNAcentral. Lineage: Eukaryota; Metazoa; Arthropoda; Insecta; Hymenoptera; Vespidae.
AUUAUUAAUAUUGAUGCGUCAAUAAGAUUGUUUUUAUCGCAGUAUGUUUAUCGCACGCUAAUACGCAUCCCAAUGUUCAAGCUUAAUCGUCGCAUUGUCAGGCCGAUCACGAAUUUGCGAGCGUGAAACCACGUACGCAGCGUCUCUGUCCCGUGUACGGUCUCGUAGAUAGUUCAAACACUUUGUAAAACCUCAAGGCGAAAUUUAGUUAGGCGACACCUCGCUCGCGCACGCGCCUAUAAAGCGAAAACGCGUUAAGCAUUCGUGAAAUGCAAGUAGACGGACCACCCAUGUUCUGCUACUUCGUCGCAUGCUCACUGCUGCUGACGUUGUCUUACUUCGCGAUCACGCGACGCGAUAAAAAUUCCUCUGCGAAGGGAAAACGCGUGCAUCAGCGCAUAGAAAAUGCACAACGUUCCACAGUCAUAAUUUACUAAGAAAACAUUUUUAUAAUUCGACAACCUCUCAAACCUUGAUUUCUCGAUUAACGAAGAAGAAUCGUGAUAUAUGUAAAUGAAAGCUUAUUACCUGUCAACGAGAAAAUGAUUUAGAAUAGUUCCAUUUAUGUGAUGUAUUCUAUUUCGAUUAUCGUCGAUAAUUGAGGGUACUAUCGUCGGUUCUGAUCAUUUGCGUGUAUAAUUUAUUAAUGAUUAAAUGGCAAUAAAAAGGGAUGAAGAAGAAGGAUACUUCAUCUAAAAUUUCGACGAAUAAAACCGUUAUAUAAUUAGUCUCAGUCCAGCGCUCGGCAAGUAUCGCGCUUUCGUAGGCAUCAUGUUUUAUAGGUGGAAAGUAGCGCAAAGCACGACAAAGCAAUUGAUCAAUAUAGCGCCAACAACCCCUUGUAGCUAGCUUCUCGCCCUCUCUCGCUCUCUUUUUCUCGUCUUCCUCCCCUUUUUCCUUCCUCACCCUUCUUCCUCAACACGCCCGUUUCUCGAGCAAGUCCCAGUAGCGCGGAGAGAACGCACCCCCAUAACAAGUUUCUUACUCAUCUUUUUCGUUCAAUAACUCUCCAUCCAAGAUGGCCACCGCGGUCGUCCCUCAUUGGCUGGGGGAAGGGGUGGUCGCAGAGCUCUGUACGGAGUUUGGGUGACCCGAGAGAGAGAGAGAAAGAGAAAGAGAUGGCAAGAGAGGGAAAAGAGAGCAGUACAAGAGAGAGAGAAAGAGGGGUUGGAAGCACUAACGCCAUCUAUCUUGCGUUGCCUUGGCUCGGCGUAACAUAAGGUAAGAUAAAUUGCGGGAUCUCCCGGGUUCUUGAACCUUUCUGGCAAAUUGCAUAAGAAUAUCCACCCUCUCCGUCCUUCUCUACUUUCUCACAACCACCUUUCCUACGUUCCACCUCUCUCCUCCAACCCAGGCCCCAUGGCUCCAAUGGAAUUGGAAUUAAGUCGAAUAAAUCACCUUCGUGACUCUGCACGCUACGCGGAACCUCCGCGCUCUCCUCCGCGUUUCAAAGACCAGAAAUUUCUUUUCUUGAGAUAGAAUCGAACGCUUCUUUCUACCACCGGAUCUCUUGAUUAAACGUUUGCGAACGCGGAGGACUUCGAUUCCGUAAUCGAAUCGAAAAUUGUCUGAGUACCGUUGCAUCGAUCGUAAGCGUCAACUACUGGUCACUUGGAAAGUCAUAAAGCAGUGCCGGCAUCUAGCGGUACCCACGAGAACAAUGAAACAAGAAGCAGAAGACAAAGUGCUGUGUGUGCGCGCGCGCAUCAUGGACCAUUGAUCGGAAGAAGGAAAAAUGAUAUAGGUAAUAUUUAGCUAUGACGGUACAAAAUAGUCCGAGAAUAAAAUGAGUUCGACGAGCCCUGUUCGUUCGGCUUCGACAGUCUCGAUACUAUAAUCGAGGAAAGCAAGGAAAUGCGUGCGAAUUAAUUGGAAAGAUAGAUGCAUCAGAUAGCGACGUUAUUAGCGCGUCAAUUUGUAAAGAGCAUAAUAAACGCGAUACGAUAAUUAAAUGUUAAUUAUUCCAUACGUAACAUUAAUGUAUCCUUUUUAGAUCUAUCCUAUCCGAUCUCGCAAAGUCCAU